This is a non-coding RNA of Pelobates cultripes (western spadefoot toad), 208 nucleotides long. Lineage: Eukaryota; Metazoa; Chordata; Amphibia; Anura; Pelobatidae. The record is from the annotation of a GenBank genome assembly.
AGACGGUCCAUUUAAUAUAAAGAUAGGUGUUACAAACUGCCGUUUAUAACUGGGAUUUUAUGUGACAAAUUGCCCUGUGUCCUUGGCUUAUGGAGAAGCCUAAUUGCCAGCCUCCUUCCUCAUGAUUAUGGCCCUGCUGGGUAUGGCCCUUUAAGAACAGCAUUGGGGCUUAUGGAUUUUUAUUGGACCAUGCUGGCCCUUUAAGAAC